UUCGUUUUUAGAUAUACCACAUUUGGGUUUGAACAGGUGUUUCUCUUGUUUUAUUUUUUUGGGGAGGAGGGAGGGGGGUGUGGGUCUGUGGCGGGUUUUUCAGAAAGGGGCUCUUUAGACCCUUUUGGUUCAGAGUAGAUGGAGGAACUACAUGCGGGAGGUGAACACGCGAGCUUCCAUCAACCAAGGUCACCCAAGAAAUAAAUAUAUGGCCAAGUUGGAAAUUAAUUCAUCGCUAGACGCUCAGUCACAUAUUUAUUUACCAAAAUAAAAUAAAAUAAAAUAAAAUAAAAUAACAAUAAUAAUCAAAUCGCUCACAAUCACCUGGGUGGGGUUUGGAAAUUAGAGUUUCUCACCCAUCAUUUUGGACACAGUCCCUGUAUAUUUUCUCCCAUGCCUCUAUCCCACAUAAC
This 413-nucleotide small RNA is filed under the name Histoplasma capsulatum. RNAcentral's name for it is "hypothetical RNA". Lineage: Eukaryota; Fungi; Ascomycota; Eurotiomycetes; Onygenales; Ajellomycetaceae. The record is from RNAcentral. RNAcentral also lists the same sequence under 1 other name.